This 2920-nucleotide long non-coding RNA is filed under the name Homo sapiens (human). RNAcentral describes it as "HSALNT0143650". Lineage: Eukaryota; Metazoa; Chordata; Mammalia; Primates; Hominidae. The record is from RNAcentral.
UGGGUCAAAUGGUAUUUAUAGUUAAUCUUAGGGGGAGUUAUUGUCGAGGUUGGUCUCGAACUCCUGGCCUCAAGCAAUCCUCUUGCCUCACGGAGUUUUCCAAAUGUUCUGUAUGAGCAUGUAUUAUAUCAUGCUCAGAGAAUGUAACAUUUUGAAAUUACUAAAAAUGGUAACAGUUACACUUUCUAACAACUACUACAUUCUCAUAUUUUUAUGAAGUAAGAACACAGUUAUCCUCAUUUUACAGAGGAAAAGCUGAGGCUCAGACAAGAGAUCUCUGCAGGGACACAUAUCUACUAAGUGGCUGAAUCAUGAGUCGACUCAGAUCUGUUUGAUUCCAGAAGCUAAGGCCUGACUGAACACCUGACAUUGUCGUGAAUUUAAAAAAAAAAAAAAAAAGGAAGUAGAUUUUAAAGAGAAGUGCUCAUUAAGUUUAGUCUUGUGAGUCAUAAGUUUGAAGCACUGAAGAGAUGACUGGGGAUGUCUUUUGAACAGGUUAAACAUUGACUGGAGGCUCAGGAGCUCCUCUUUGGAGGUGUUGAUUUGAGAAUUGUUCAGAGAUGUCAAUGAAGCAACAGCAACAGAGGAGACCAUCCGGGAGUAGUUUAGAGAUUGUGAAUAGAAGGAUAUUGCCAAAGACCACUCAGUAAGGAAAGGAGAGUCACAGGAGAGAUGCAGGUAACCUGGAAACUGAGGGAGAGAGGACUUUCAGAUCACUGAGCAUGAUCAAGUGGCAUAAAAUGGCCUUUAGGCAGAGUCUUAUGAUGAGUUUGACAUGAGAAUAUUUAUAGCAUAAACUAGCCUGAACACAGUCAAGGUAGGAAGUAUAAAAUGCCCUUUCAAGAAUGGAAUUGAUGAGGAAUUGGUGAGGGAAAGAUUGUAGUUCAAAAUGAUGGAGACAGGGGAAGGGAUUUUCCCCUUGCAGAAGGCUUGACUCCACUUUUAGGCUGAAUGGAAGGAGUAGGAGGGACAGAAGAGUCAGGAUAGAGAGAAAACAACCCGAAGAACAAGUUCCUUGAGGAAAUGGAAAGGGAUGCCACACACAGGUAAGGGUUUGCUCUAAAGUGCUCCUCAAAGUUAACAGUCCAGUUAUAGACACUGUUGCUGCAAAACAAACCACACCAUAUGCAAAAUGUAAAGUAAAACAAUCACCAUCUUAUGCACGCUGCUUCUGUGGGUCAGAAAUUGGACAGAGCACAGUGGGGAUGGCUUUUCUCUGCUCCACAGUGUCUGGGGUCUAAUUUAGAAAGACUCAAAUAGUUAUGGGUGACUCAAAUGUCAGGGGGCUGGAAUCACCCAGGGUCUUUCACUCAUGUGGCCGAUGCCCGGGCUGGGAUGAUUUUAAGGCUGGGCUCAGCAGGGUCGAUUCUUUGAGCACUCAUGCAUGGCCUGUGCAUGUGCCUUGGGCCUCCUACGGCACGGCAGCAGCAUUUUGAGAGGAAGCAAUAAUCCUUAUGGUAUCAUCACUCCUAUUGUGUUGAAAAGAGUCCUAAACCUCAGGAAAUUCAUGUCACUUGUUCAGUGUCAUAGAGCUUUACAGUGUGCUCUCAAUUUUGCCUAAAAAAUACAUUCAUAUCACAUAUAGAAAAAAUUCUGGGAGAAUACACAUGAAAAUUUUAGAAGUAGUCAUAUUUGAAUAGUGUAAUUUUUAUUUCCUUUUAGAUUUUCUCUGUUUUGUUUUUAUGUUUUAGCAAUGAUUAUGCAUGGCUCAUACAUUAAAAGUUUUGUUUUUACUUUCUAGAUGAAGCCUUCUGUAAGCAGUCUAAUAACCCCUUGGACUUAGUUGUUUUCAGGACAAGCCCAGGGGUGGCAUCUCCCGGAUGGAAAUACAAACCAAACAUCUGCCAGGCAUGUACCAAGGGUUCCAUACUUGACGUCAUCUUAUCUUGGAGAAGAGAUUCUCACACUAUGGGACUGACUCAGACAUCAUGCCUCUUCAGCCAGGCAGAGGAACUGACAUUCCCUAAGGACAGCUGCCGACACACUGCCAGGGUGGGGCUUGCACUUGCAUUUUCCCCAUCUCCGAGCUGUCCCUGGGAAGAGUCCAAGGGUUGUCUUUACAGGCCGUGAGAAAUAUGCAUCUGGAAAUAUCAAUUUCUAAGAAAGGGUCCCUCCUUCUGGAUUGAUAAGGGUGGGAACAUUCAAGCUACCGAUAAGACCUCUGCACCCAGCUCCUGUCCCUCCACUCCCUACGGCUCAGCUUUGAAGUUCCAAAAACCCUGCCUCUGUGACCUGAUUGUGUUAUCUUCAUAACCAAGAAACACAAGGCUUCGGUGGAGAGUGAACAAAAUCAGAGCUUUCUUCACAAAGGAAAAGAGUGAGGAAUGAAUGAAGUUGACAACCCAGUGACAUCUGCAAUUCCCUUGUGACUUUUUACUUGCCAGACUCACUCUUCUCCUAAGUAGCACAAAGGAAUUGUUGCUUACGGUAGAUCUAGGUAAAAACUGGCUGGAUUUUUGGAGGAGUUACCAGGUCAUCUGUAGCUGGCCUUUCUCUAUGCAGACCCAAUACCACCUAGAUCCUUCUGCUCACCGUGGGCUAGUGCUGUGAAUUCAUUCAUUCACUCAUGGAAGCAUGUUGAUUUCUAUCACCUACCAGCCCAUCAAGUAGGUGCUAGGGAUAUAGCAAAUAAGCCACAGAUCCUAUCCUCAAGUGCCUCUGUUAUUGCUCAGUCUCAUUUGUUUUUUCUUCCAAAAUAUGAGAUAGGCAGAGAAGAUGUUCCUUUUGUACAGAAAAUGAUAUUGAGUUAUGAAUUAGCAAUGUGAUAUUCCUGCUAACACAGAAGCUCACCUCAGAAAGAAAUGGUCAGAAAUGUAAACAGCCAACUCUAAGCCUAAUUCUCAUUCCAGUCAGCUGCAGACCAUGACCCCACUAGAGACCUAUUCCAUGGGACAAGGUAGCAAAUGAGGCAAAACACUAG